GACGAACGCUGGCGGCGUGCUUAACACAUGCAAGUCGAACGGUGAACGAGGGAGCUUGCUCCCUCCGGAUCAGUGGCGAACGGGUGAGUAACACGUGAGCAAUCUGCCCCGAACUCUGGGAUAAGCGUUGGAAACGACGUCUAAUACCGGAUACGACGCGGGAGGGCAUCCUCUCCGCGUGGAAAGAACUUCGGUUCGGGAUGAGCUCGCGGCCUAUCAGCUUGUUGGUGAGGUAACGGCUCACCAAGGCGACGACGGGUAGCCGGCCUGAGAGGGUGACCGGCCACACUGGGACUGAGACACGGCCCAGACUCCUACGGGAGGCAGCAGUGGGGAAUAUUGCACAAUGGGCGCAAGCCUGAUGCAGCAACGCCGCGUGAGGGAUGACGGCCUUCGGGUUGUAAACCUCUUUUAGCAGGGAAGAAGCGAAAGUGACGGUACCUGCAGAAAAAGCACCGGCUAACUACGUG
RNAcentral lists this ribosomal RNA (470 nucleotides) under uncultured bacterium. Its description in RNAcentral is "partial 16S ribosomal RNA". It matches the Rfam family "Bacterial small subunit ribosomal RNA", at positions 28 to 507 of the family's 1533-position model. The record is from RNAcentral.